UGAGAAGAACUUUCAUUAGAGGUGUUCUAAGGGCAUUCACAACGCAGAUCAUUAGCAUAAGGUCCUUACCAAAAAAUAAUAAAAUAUUGCAUGGGUCCCAUUGUUUUUUAAAAAAUAGAUCUUUUAAAUUGUUAUAUAAAGACUGAUCUUCACUUGUUUCUUGCACUGAUCGCAGGUCCUACUGAUAAAUGGCGGCCCGCAAUUGGUUCGACUUUUUAUUUAUUUAUUUUUUAUCAGAAAAAAAACAAAAAAAAAACAAAAGAAAGUUUAACCGGGCCGGAAUUCUCAGCGAUAAUCAUGGUCUAAAAGGGUAAAGGUUCAGGUAGACAGCAUCACGUAUCCAACGUGGCUUUCGAUACGUUAUGUUAGUGUUGGAGAUAUAUUACAUCUCUUGGAUAAUACUCACUAAACAAACAGAAUUCAGUCCAAUUGAAUUCAAGUCAGCCCAAUCGAAGAUGAAGUCGGCACAAUUUCAAAUCGAUUUGAUAGAAAAAAAUAAAAAAGACUUGUAUAUAAGGAGUAAGCCACCGAGGAGUCGGUUAUCAAAGUCGGUAGCACAAAAGUUCUAAUUGUGACAUCGGGUCGGUCCAAGUUUUUAUUUGCAUUUUGCAUACCUAAGGGAGAGAUAUAUAAUUGAUUCCGGUUUUGGCCUUUUGACUCAAUAACUUUCAACUUGCGACCCACAUAACUUCAUUUUUUAACAAUUUAAAAACGACCCAAACACUUUCGGACCCAAUGAAAAGCAACUCUACACACGUGCGAGUCCGACCCCACCUUCCGCCGGAGGAAAUUUUUUUUUUUCGCAACCCGUCGGAGUUACUUUAUGUGACUGGUAACUGUUGGGGAAAAAUACUCAGGUAUUGAAUCCUCCAAACCCCAGGCAUGACACCGGCCUCUGGAUCCCCGCUGGAAGGAACCCGGUUCCAGGAUCUCCGCUAGAAGGAACCCCGGUUCCCCGCUGUGGAGUUUUCCGGGUCCGGUCCAAGGAUCGCCCCCCUUCCUCUGGGAAAUGGAAAACUUCCGAUAAGGAGAACCUUCCAUAUUUUCGAAUAUGGAAGAGUUUAACCUACUCCAACCGACUAAGGCCCGCCUUAGGAAGACUAUAUAUGGGGAACCCAAGCCCUAAAGCAAGGGAUCGAUACUUCGAGACAUAGAGAUUAGAGCUAGGCGGCUAGAACUAGGGUUCUUACUCAAAAUUCUUGUAGUUCCACCUCUUUGAUAUAAUAAAACGUCUCCUUCUACUUUCGUACUCGCAAAUCAAUACAAAUACAAGCCUUAUCCAUCGUUCCGUAGUACUCACAAAAAUUCUACACAAAAUUCUCCCAACAGUUUGGCGCUAGAAGGAGGGGAGUAAUCUAAGCUACGUGAUAAUGGCGGUGGAUGAGCAUGACGAGCUACCCGAAGCUACCCAGAGAGAAGCCGAACUCCAGAGGCAAAUCGACGAUCUGCAAGGUCAAGUAACCGGGUUGCAUCGAACUCGAGAAGAGACCAAUCCCGAGCUUUCCUCGGAGUUUCAGAUCCUGAAGGAAAAACUCAACGAACACUCGAAGCAACUGGAGUAGAGCGCCGAGAAGCUCAGCCAGCUCGAAUCGGAGAAUCUCACCCUCUGAGACGAAAGCCAAGCCCUUAACACGGCAAGCAACAAGAAGCGUCGAUUCCGGACUCGGGUUCGCCACAUGCCGACUCUGGAAACACCCAACUCCGAGACAGGCGCGAAGCCCCCAAUUACGACGACGGGAGGAGACGCGUCUACGCAAGAAAAAGCCAAGGAUGCUCAGGCUUAUGACGUGGAUGAUAGCGACUCGGAGCCCGAGCCUAAUAAGGAAAUAUCAGACGGAGCUGCGAGAACGGAGUCUCCUAUGAUCGCUCACCUUCACCAAAUGUUCUCCGAUAGGCUCGACGCCAUGCGGUCCAUGGUAAGAGAGACUCCCGGGGGUAGCUCCCUCCAUCCGGAAGAGCAACCCUGAUUCCUAUGCUGAUACUCCUUUCAUGGAUGAGAUCACCUUGAUCGAGAUGCCCAUGAAGUUCUCUUUCCCCAGCAUAAAGGCCUACGAUGGCACCACUGAUCUGGACGACCACGUCGCCCAAUAUCGACAAAGGAUGCUCGCCAUUGCACUCCCAAAGGGGUCACGCGAAGCUACCAUGUGCAAAGGUUUCGGCUCCACCUUGACCGGAUCCACUCUGCAAUGGUAUAUCAAUUUGCCCUCCAGGUCCAUAGCCUCCUUCGCGGUUCUCAGCUACAAAUUUGUGGAGCAAUUCGCCAGCAGCAGGGACCUGGAGAAAACUUCUGACAGCUUCUACGAAAUCCUCCAGCACCGAGCGGAACCCCUGCGAGGCUACAUAGCCCGCUUCAAUCAAGAAAAUGUGGUUAUCCCCAAAUGCAGCAUCUCCACUGCUAUCUCUGUUUUCAAGAGAGGUCUGCUCCCCGACGGAGACCUCUACAAGAAACUGACCAAUUACAAGUGCAAAACUAAGCGGAUUGUCAUUCCGAGUUAUUUUCUGAAAGUUGUGUUUGUUUUCGCGAGAGGUAUUGCUGUAGUCUUUGUAUGCGACCAGCCUGGAGGUGAAGCCAUUUUGGUUGAUCAAAUGGUGGCCGAUCGUAGUAAAACCGGUGGCUAUGGACAAAGAACAUAUAGUACUGCAUUCUGACCGGAGGGAUCGAAUGUUUAACGGUCAGUUCUUAAAUUAUUCAUCUGUUCUCUCGAGGGUUCAGGUCUGCCGAAAUCCUCAUAUUUGUCUAUUUUCAGAAAGUUCAGGAGUUGUUAUUUUAGAGCCGUUAAAGUCCAUUCGGUGUGUUCUCAGGUUUUCUGAAGAACCUGUGGCAAAGGUAAGGGUCUUUUCCCGAAUUUCUCUUACACGGCUUAGGACUUCGAAUAAGUAUAAUUUAUUUCUAAUAUGUUCCGUCUGCGUGAAAUCGAGUCUGUCAUUGCUUGUUUAGUUUUUAGGUUCUUUGCUUAAACCGGAAUUAGGGUGUUAGAGGAUUCAACAAUGAUUGUUUCAUUUAAAAUUGGUAAAUAAAAAUAGUUGUUUUAUUAAGAGUUAUGUGAUUGUUUGAGACGGAUACAGAGACGGACUUUUGUAUGCCGGAUUGUGUGGAGGUUACGGUCAGCUAUAGUCGAACGGUUGACGCGUAACCCAGGAGGUCGAUAAAUCGUCUACAGGCGUGUGUUACCGAGCACUUGUUCGGUGUGUGUAUGAACCGAGCACCUUUUCGGUGGUGUUUUUGGCCUGUUAGUGGGCAGCGAAUGUGCACCUCGCUAGGACUAUUGUUUGAUCUCUGGAUACUUUAGGUACCGUGUUAGGAUUAAAUUAUAUUUAUUCGGAGUGCUUUGUCCGGGUCCAUGAAUUUCGGGUUUAGUAUCUCAUACCUCACUGAGUGACUUCCCCGUUACUCACCCCUCUUUCUUUCCCAUUUCAGAUGAGACAGACGAGUAUAUGAUAUUUGGACGGAUUGGUGCUACUGGAUUUUUUAUUCGGAUUUGUAUUUGAGCUUAGAGUGAGUUGAAUCGUGUAUAUGGACUAUUGUGUUAUGAGGCAUUGUUGGUGGCACGCUGUUCUCCAGAUAGGAGGUGACGGGUGUCACAGAUACCUUUGCUUGCUCUUGAAUACCAACCUCCUAGGUAAUGAUUCUUCUUUACCUUCGAAAAGAGUUUAUGCUUUGGCUUGAUUCUUUUGUUUUGUUAGGACUAAUUCAUUCAAAACGGUGGAAGCCUCGUUGAGAAUUGAUGGAGUAGCUAGUGCUGGUUUCAAGAUUUCGCGGUCAAAGCUAGUUAAUCUGAUUAGUAGUGGGGACAUUCGGGUUAACUGGGCAACGGUUACCAAGAACGGAACCAUGGUAAAGACUGGUGAUGUUGUCUCUGUUACCGGGAAAGGGAGACUCAAGGUAAGACUGUAAGAGGGAAAAUGGCCUAUUCUUCUAUGAACUAAUUGUUUCCGGUUUUUUCACACACAGAUUUUUAAGUCAUGCCAAAAACCACAUGAACAACGGAAAAGUGGUUUAUUCCCCUAUGAACUAGUUUUUUCUGGUUUUUCACACACGAACUUUUAAAUCAUGCCAAAAAACACAUGAACAACUCUAUUUUUGAAUAACAUACACAAACUAUCGAUUUUUAAACUAAUUCCUCUAAAACUGUAAAUGGUGUUAUUUAAAUGUUAACUAGUUUGUGAUAGGUGGAGAGCCGGUUUGAUUUGGAUUAAUAAAAAAAUUACUAUGUAGUUUUAUCUUUUUUCUCUUUUUUUUUGUCAACUGUUCUUCUUUUUCAGAAAUAGUUUUACUUUUCGUCAUCAAUUGGAGAUAAAAUUUAUAAUUCUGCAGAAGAAUAAAAUGUUUUACAUGAUGCAUAAAAAAAAAAGAAAAGCAGUCCACAAGGAAUUAUAAAAUCGGUGCAGUAUCCCCAACUGAUGAUGAAGAGUAAAACGAUUUCUGAAAAAAAAAAAGCAAUUGACAAAAAAAAUAAAGAAUAAAACGACAGUAUUUUUUUAUCAAUCCAAAUUAAACAGGCUUUCCAUAUGUCAUAAACCAAAUUGAUUGUGUAAUUACUAAAAUGACUCAUAUUUUUUGAAAAUUAUUAGAAUAUUUUUUGGUCGAAAUUGCCCCUGCCCAUAGUUAUAAUUAAAAAAAAUUAUUACAAAAAUACCCUUACAUCUGAUCGACGGCAGAUUUUUUUUUUUAAAAAAAAAAUAAAUCUAUCGAAUAAUAAGUCUGUUUAUAAAAUCUGUAUGAAAAAAUAAAUCUACCAUUAAAGUGGUGACAGACUUUUUUAAAAACGUCAGAUUUGUUUACACGGCAGAGUUAAUUGUUUGAUUUAAAUAGAAAAUAUAUUUUUAUGAAUAUAUCUGUCAAAUGAGGUAGCAGAUUUGUUAUGAAUGGUAGGUUUUUGUGGUCAACUUAUUUUCUUAUGUUCGACUUAUUUUUUUUACGGCAGAGUUAUAUAUAUGAUCUAAAAUUGUUGGUAGAUUUUUUGCUUAUAUGGUUGUAGACUUUUUGAUUUAUGUUGUGGAAGAUUUAUUGACGGAAAUUUGGGUUUAUGUAAAUCAGAUUUAAUUUAAUAUCUAAUUUUGAUCCGGUUUACAUUAAUUUCAAAUCUUGUUUAUUUUUAGGUUAACUAAUAUCAUAAUUAGGUAAUUUUUGGUACUUGUCAUCAUCUUUUUUAUCUUUCUUUUCUUCUUCGUCAAGUUAUUCUCUUUCGUGGUGGUUUAAUCACUUCUAUAGAGAUAAUGAAUUUGUUUAGAGAUGCUCAAAGAAAAAUAAGUUUAAGCUACCAAAGCUAAUUAAAAAUAGUAUACUUAGCACCACGAACUGUCAAGCAAUGCAGACAGUUCAUUAUAUAAUAUUAGUGAAUUUCAUAGUAAUCAGUCAAUAUUCAGUAGCAUGUAAAUGUGAUAAUCGAUCAUUGAUUUCGACAAGAAAAUAAACGAAACAACUCGGCUACAUGAAUGUUACAUGUUGAGAAACAGACGACAUAACAAAAAGAAACAAGAACAGAUUAUCAUCUAAACGAGUUUCCGCAUUCCUCAUACAGGUAUACAUUCUCUGGCUUAGCUCUUCGCACGUCAGCUCGUGAUUAUUUAUGUUUCCCAUUUGAAGAUGCAAACUGUAGACGAGCCUUUCUCCAUGAGACCUAGAAGAUGAAACAUCAACAAAGAACAAACCCAUCUUCUUCCGAAUCUGGGCAAAGCAUAAACCAGAGGAC
Long non-coding RNA from Brassica rapa (field mustard), 5693 nucleotides. RefSeq lists it as uncharacterized. The record is from RefSeq and is a predicted model, not a curated record. Lineage: Eukaryota; Viridiplantae; Streptophyta; Magnoliopsida; Brassicales; Brassicaceae.